GUGCCUACUUUGGCAGCACAUCUACUAAAAUUGGAACGAUACAGAGAAGAUUAACAUGGCUCCCAUGCAAGGAUGACAUGCAAAUUCAUGAAGCGGUCCAUAUUUUU
RNAcentral lists this small nuclear RNA (107 nucleotides) under Dasypus novemcinctus (nine-banded armadillo). The record is from RNAcentral. Lineage: Eukaryota; Metazoa; Chordata; Mammalia; Cingulata; Dasypodidae.